Molecule: unclassified non-coding RNA, 240 nt
Filed under: soil metagenome
Description: partial contains 5.8S ribosomal RNA, internal transcribed spacer 2, and large subunit ribosomal RNA
Source: RNAcentral
AACACUGUUAACCUGCGGUACCUGCGGAAGGAUCAUUACAGAGUUGCAAAACUCCCACAAACCAUCGCGAAUCUUACCCGUACGGUUGCCUCGGCGCUGGCGGUCCGGAAGGCCCUCGGGCCCCCGGACCCUCGGGUCCCCCGCUCGCGGGGGGCUGCCCGCCGGAGUGCCGAAACCAAACUCUUGAUAUUUUAUGUCUCUCUGAGUAAACUUUUAAAUAAGUCAAAACUUUUAGCAAUG